This 1347-nucleotide long non-coding RNA is filed under the name Solanum tuberosum (potato). Its description in RNAcentral is "long non-coding RNA (STUB_LNC011097)". The record is from RNAcentral. Lineage: Eukaryota; Viridiplantae; Streptophyta; Magnoliopsida; Solanales; Solanaceae.
CCUCCUAGUACUCCCAGUACACCAACUACCCCAACUCCUGACCCCGGUACUCCAAGCACUCCAGGAGGUGGUGGAUACUCUCCUUCCCCUACUCCUACUACUCCUACCCCUAGUACACCAUCCACCCCCUCCACACCUACUAUUGAAACACCACCUACUCCUACCGCUGAUCCUGGAACUCCAAGCACUCCUGGGGGUGGUGGUUACUAUCCUUCGCCUACACCUACACCUAGUACCCCCUCUACACCUACUAUUGAAACACCACCUACUCCUACCGCUGAUCCUGGAACUCCAAGCACUCCUGGGGGUGGUGGUUACUAUCCUUCGCCUACACCUACACCUAGUACCCCCUCUACACCUACUAUUGAAACACCACCUACUCCUACCGCUGAUCCUGGAACUCCAAGCACUCCUGGGGGUGGUGGUUACUAUCCUUCGCCUACACCUACACCUAGUACCCCCUCUACACCUACUAUUGAAACACCACCUACUCCUACCGCUGAUCCUGGAACUCCAAGCACUCCUGGGGGUGGUGGUUACUAUCCUUCGCCUACACCUACACCUAGUACCCCCUCUACACCUACUAUUGAAACACCACCUACUCCUACCGCUGAUCCUGGAACUCCAAGCACUCCUGGGGGUGGUGGUUACUAUCCUUCGCCUACACCUACACCUAGUACCCCCUCUACACCUACUAUUGAAACACCACCUACUCCUACCGCUGAUCCUGGAACUCCAAGCACUCCUGGGGGUGGUGGUUACUAUCCUUCGCCUACACCUACACCUAGUACCCCCUCUACACCUACUAUUGAAACACCACCUACUCCUACCGCUGAUCCUGGAACUCCAAGCACUCCUGGGGGUGGUGGUUACUAUCCUUCGCCUACACCUACACCUAGUACCCCCUCUACACCUACUAUUGAAACACCACCUACUCCUACCGCUGAUCCUGGAACUCCAAGCACUCCUGGGGGUGGUGGCUACUAUCCUACGCCUACACCUACACCUAGUACCCCCUCUACACCUACUAUUGAAACACCACCUACUCCUACCAUUGACCCUGGCACGCCAAGCACUCCAGGGGGUGGUGGUUACUAUCCUUCUCCGACACCUACUACCCCGUCUACACCUACCAUUGAAACACCACCCACUCCUACCAUUGACCCUGGAACUCCAAGCACUCCGGGUGGUGGUGGUUACUAUCCUUCUCCUACACCUACCAUUGAAACACCACCCACUCCUAUCAUUGACCCCGGAACUCCAAGUGCUCCAGGUGUCUUCCCAAUAGACCCCAACUCACCACCUUUUACAUGCAAGUAAGUAAAACAAAAAUUAUUCUCUCUAUUU